This 268-nucleotide long non-coding RNA is filed under the name Elaeis guineensis (African oil palm). RNAcentral describes it as "long non-coding RNA (EGUI_LNC021493)". The record is from RNAcentral. Lineage: Eukaryota; Viridiplantae; Streptophyta; Magnoliopsida; Arecales; Arecaceae.
AGUAUUCUUCUCAUGAUCUUUAGCAUAGAGAUCUUCAUCCUUCUAUUUUAUUUUUCUUCUCUAAGAGGGUCUUGAGAGAAAUAAAAAAUUUUCAAUUAUCAAGAUACGAUCUCUACAAGAAAACUAAUAUCUCGAUGAAAUCAAGAAGCUUCAGAUUAGAUCGAGAUCUCAUGUGGAUAUCUGUAGAGAUCGGACGCUUGUACGAUUUUAAGAGACUUUCGAAAAAUAUCCAUGAUCAUCAGUUCAUGGUGUAGAUUGACCGGUGCUA